RNAcentral lists this transfer RNA (84 nucleotides) under Candidatus Blochmanniella floridana. RNAcentral's name for it is "Candidatus Blochmannia floridanus tRNA-Leu-GAG-1-1". It matches the Rfam family "tRNA". From Rfam's summary of the family: Transfer RNA (tRNA) molecules are approximately 80 nucleotides in length. Their secondary structure includes four short double-helical elements and three loops (D, anti-codon, and T loops). The record is from RNAcentral. Lineage: Bacteria; Pseudomonadati; Pseudomonadota; Gammaproteobacteria; Enterobacterales; Enterobacteriaceae.
GCCGAGAUGGUGAAAUUUGGUAUACACGCUACUUUGAGGGGGUAGUCCGGUUAAUGGUUGCGGGUUCAAAUCCCGUUCUCGGCA